RNAcentral lists this ribosomal RNA (512 nucleotides) under uncultured bacterium. RNAcentral describes it as "bacterial SSU rRNA". It matches the Rfam family "Bacterial small subunit ribosomal RNA", at positions 1 to 507 of the family's 1533-position model. The record is from RNAcentral.
CCUGGCUCAGGAUUGGAAACGGCUGGGCCGGGAACUAGCGUUACUUACACUAGUCGAAGUACGAGACGGGCAGCGGGCGGGUCGACCUGGCGGCGAGCGGCGAACGGGUGAGUAACACAUCGGAACGUGCCCAGACGUGGGGGAUAGCCCGGCGAAAGCCGGAUUAAUACCGCAUGUGAUCUGAGGAUGAAAGUGGGGGACCGCAAGGCCUCACGCGUUUGGAGCGGCCGAUGGCAGAUUAGGUAGUUGGUGGGGUAAAGGCUUACCAAGCCUGCGAUCUGUAGCUGGUCUGAGAGGAUGAUCAGCCACACUGGGACUGAGACACGGCCCAGACUCCUACGGGAGGCAGCAGUGGGGAAUUUUGGACAAUGGGCGCAAGCCUGAUCCAGCCAUUCCGCGUGCAGGACGAAGGCCUUCGGGUUGUAAACUGCUUUUGUACGGAACGAAAGGGCUCUGGUUAAUACCUGGGGCAUAUGACGGUACCGUAAGAAUAAGCACCGGCUAACUACGUG